RNAcentral lists this ribosomal RNA (444 nucleotides) under uncultured bacterium. RNAcentral's name for it is "partial 16S ribosomal RNA". It matches the Rfam family "Bacterial small subunit ribosomal RNA", at positions 338 to 795 of the family's 1533-position model. The record is from RNAcentral.
CCUACGGGAGGCAGCAGUGGGGAAUAGUGGGCAAUGGAGGAAACUCUGACCCAGCAAUGCCGCGUGAAGGAAGAAGGUCUUCGGAUUGUAAAGUUCUGUAGUCAGGGAAGAAGAAAAUGACGGUACCUGAAGAAUAAGCUCCGGCUAACUACGUGCCAGCAGCCGCGGUAAUACGUAGGGAGCAAGCGUUGGUCGGAAUGACUGGGCGUAAAGGGGGCGUAGGCGGUUAUCCAAGUUAGAAGUGAAAUACCCCGGGCCUAACUCGGGUGCUGCUUCGAAAACUGUAAGACUUGAGGGCAGUACAGGUUAGUGGCAUUCCUCGUGUAGCGGUGUAAUGCGUAGAUAUUAGGAGGAACCCCAGCGGCGAAGGCGGCUCACUGGACUGCAACUGACGCUGAGGCACGACAGUGUGGGGCGCAAACAGGAUUAGAUACCCGAGUAGUC